This is a long non-coding RNA of Heterocephalus glaber (naked mole-rat), 734 nucleotides long. The record is from Ensembl. Lineage: Eukaryota; Metazoa; Chordata; Mammalia; Rodentia; Bathyergidae.
AGAGAUUGCUUCAUUUUACAGUCACCCUAGAAACGCCUCCGUCCUUCUCAGAAAGGAGAGUUGGCAGCGGGUCUGGCUGGCAUUGUGGGAUCUGUACAGGAUCCGCUCUUUGCUCCCGGUCCACGCCGAAGCUGUCAUCGGCUUAGAAUAGCGGUUAAGAAGUGUGGUGUGGAUGGAUGGACGGACCUACCACACGAAAAGCUCAGAAGCCCAAAUGUCUCCAUCCUUAACCUUAACUUGACUUUUAUAUGCACCCAUUGCUCCUCUGCACAGAGUGGUGUACAAGACGGAAAGCCUCAAGUACUUGAGUGGCUGCCAGUCAUUCUACUGCAUUCUUGGUAGAAAGAAGCUGGAUAAAAAAGCUAUGGCAUAAAUCAAGUUUGGAAGCAGAUCAGGAGAAUGAAUAGCGUCAACCAGAGAAAUCUGAAAGACGAACACUAGCCUUAAUGGAGAGUCCUUCAACUCAAGACAAGGAAAAGAGACUAUACUUCUAUGAAAAAAAAUUUUAAGAAGAUGUGUUUGUGCCUAUAUGAUCUCCCACCAUGAUGCGCCACCAUCUAUUGCCCUCAUUGAAAGCCAAAACAGUGUCCUCUCAUCAGUCUCCUCAUCUUGGACUUUGAACCUCUAAAACUGUGAGCUAAAUAAACCUUUUCUCUUUAUAAGUUACUUGCCUUUGGCAUUUCACUGUAGUAACACAAAGCAAACUAAUACAAUGCCCUUCCAUUACUUUGCAC